UGCCAGCCGCCGCGGUAAGACGAACCGUACAAACGUUAUUCGGAAUCACUGGGCUUAAAGCGUGCGUAGGCGGCUUGGAAAGUUGGGUGUGAAAUCCCUCGGCUCAACCGAGGAAUUGCGCCCAAAACUACCCAGCUUGAGGGAGAUAGGGGUGAGCGGAACUAAUGGUGGAGCGGUGAAAUGCGUUGAUAUCAUUAGGAACACCUGUGGCGAAAGCGGCUCACUGGGUCUCUUCUGACGCUGAGGCACGAAAGAUAGGGGAGCGAACGGGAUUAGAUA
RNAcentral lists this ribosomal RNA (279 nucleotides) under uncultured bacterium. Its description in RNAcentral is "partial 16S ribosomal RNA". It matches the Rfam family "Bacterial small subunit ribosomal RNA", at positions 506 to 784 of the family's 1533-position model. The record is from RNAcentral.